This 208-nucleotide ribosomal RNA is filed under the name uncultured bacterium. Its description in RNAcentral is "partial 16S ribosomal RNA". It matches the Rfam family "Bacterial small subunit ribosomal RNA", at positions 568 to 776 of the family's 1533-position model. The record is from RNAcentral.
UGCGUAGGCGGCUUUUUAAGUCGGAUGUGAAAUCCCUGAGCUUAACUUAGGAAUUGCAUUCGAUACUGGGAAGCUAGAGUAUGGGAGAGGAUGGUAGAAUUCCAGGUGUAGCGGUGAAAUGCGUAGAGAUCUGGAGGAAUACCGAUGGCGAAGGCAGCCAUCUGGCCUAAUACUGACGCUGAGUACGAAGCAGUGGGGAGACAAACGA